RNAcentral lists this long non-coding RNA (400 nucleotides) under Cavia porcellus (domestic guinea pig). Its description in RNAcentral is "lncRNA (ENSCPOG00000032072.1)". Lineage: Eukaryota; Metazoa; Chordata; Mammalia; Rodentia; Caviidae. The record is from RNAcentral.
CAAACUGUCAUUUUCUUUCAGCUGAAGCCUAGUAAUGGAGCCCUGCAAGAGCCUUAUCCAAGGUCACACAGCAAGCAAGUGCUGUCUCUGUCAGUGCCACCCCGUCAGGCUGGGGAGAUACCCGCUUUGUGCCUCCCUGCGGUGCGCUCUUGGGGAAGCUGAUCCCCACCACCACCACCGCGCGCGCGCUGUUCCCCCUCCCCACUAGACCCUCUGCGGCUCACCUGGUGGCGGAGGCACGCGGGUGGUUUCCUGGAGUUGAAUGGCAAACAAAGGCCACCAAUCGGCGCGCGGGGCGGUGUGGCGGCUGCUUUGCAUAAUACUCGAGGUCAGCCUUAGACGGCGGAGGUGGAUCCUUGGGGGCGGGAACUCGGGAAAUCCCAACCAAUCAUAGGGAGGU